RNAcentral lists this ribosomal RNA (496 nucleotides) under uncultured bacterium. RNAcentral's name for it is "partial 16S ribosomal RNA". It matches the Rfam family "Bacterial small subunit ribosomal RNA", at positions 29 to 507 of the family's 1533-position model. The record is from RNAcentral.
AACGAACGCUGGCGGCGCGUCUUAAGCAUGCAAGUCGAACGGCAAGAGAGGAGCUUGCUUCUCUCCUAGAGUGGCGGACUGGUGAGGAACACGUGGGUAAUCUACCCUUAAGAUGGGUAUAGCUGCUAGAAAUAGCAGGUAAUACCGAAUACACUCGGCAUAUCACAAGAGGUGUUGAGGAAAGGAAGCUACGGCUUCGCUUGAGGAUGAGCUUGCGUCCCAUUAGCUAGUUGGUGAGGUAAAGGCCCACCAAGGCGACGAUGGGUAUCCGGCCUGAGAGGGUGAACGGACACAUUGGGACUGAGAUACGGCCCAAACUCCUACGGGAGGCAGCAGCUAAGAAUAUUCCGCAAUGGACGGAAGUCUGACGGAGCGACGCCGCGUGGAUGAAGAAGGCUGAAAAGUUGUAAAAUCCUUUUGUUGAUGAAGAAUAAGGGUGAGAGGGAAUGCUCAUCUGAUGACGGUAAUCGACGAAUAAGCCCCGGCUAAUUACGUG